UACAGAGGUUUCAAGCGUUGUUCGGAUUCAUUGGGCGUAAAGGGUGCGUAGGUGGUGCUGUAAGUCAGGUGUGAAAUCUCGGGGCUCAACCCCGAAACUGCACUUGAUACUGCAGUGCUCGAGGACUGGAGAGGAGAUUGGAAUUCAUGGUGUAGCAGUGAAAUGCGUAGAUAUCAUGAGGAAGACCAGUGGCGAAGGCGGAGCUCUGGACAGUUCCUGACACUGAGGCACGAAGGCCAGGGGAGCAAACGGG
Molecule: ribosomal RNA, 253 nt
Filed under: uncultured bacterium
Lineage: Bacteria
Description: partial 16S ribosomal RNA
Rfam family: Bacterial small subunit ribosomal RNA
Source: RNAcentral